AUGAAAAAAGAGCAACGACACAGUAAGCGGAUGGAACCGAAGAACACCGCACAACUAAUUCAAGCAAUGAGAAAUCCUCAUGAAGAAGCUAAAACCCAGCAAAAUACUAACGAAGACCCUGCUGAAGAGCAUGCAAUCCAGCAAGCUCCUGUCAAAGCAAAAAGGCAAAAGAAAAAGGAAAAUGCUGAAAACAUCGUCGACACUGGUACCUUGCAGCAUCAGCCAUUACCUCUAAUGGUACUCCCACCAACUGAACCAACCGGCACGAAGAAACAAGCUGAACGCAAGAAGAAAAACAAACAACAAAGGGUAGAAAAAGAACAAGACAAUACCAACAACAAAGGUUCAGAUACCAAUGAUGACGACGAUGAUAGACAGCAUGAUGCAGAUUUCAUUCCUACAGACAGCGAUGAUGCCGAAGAGCACGACAAUGAUGCAGAACAUGACGACGAUCCCAAAUCAGGCAAGAAGGACAGAAAGAGAAGAAAGACAAGCGGGAAAGAAUUGGUAGUACCAACAGAUGACGAAGAACAACAAGAAACAGACGAAGAGAAAUGCCAAAUCAAGGCAGGGGCAACAUUCGCCCAUGUCAAGAAAGCAUGGAAUUUACUUAAAGACCGUCACAAGAAAGAUAUUAGGACGGCAGGAUUUGGCAGCAUAGAGAACUGCAAAAUAACGGGCUCCAUCUGCAGACCGCUUGCAGCACACAUCUACGACAACCUCAACACAGAAACCAUGACAAUAACCUUCGGUGAUGCUACUGAAGACAAAAAAAUCAAGAUUACCAAGGAAGCUACCCACAAGGUGUUUGGAUACCCAAACAGCACGCAAAGCGCCGCUAUCUUCGCCCGGACAGCUAUAAUGGUCAAGGACAUGGACUAUCCAGAAAUGGCAAAGAUGGAUUUCUACGAGGUAAUCGUCGAAUGUAUUAGGGAAGGAGCCAAGACAUGGCAGAAGCACAGGAUGUUGCCUCAGGAAGAAAAGAACAAAAAGCACGGCAAUGGUUUGGCACAGGUACCAGUAAUCAUGUACCUUGACUCCCUGCUGCUGCCAACCGACACAAAAGAAAUGCGGAAGAUUGCAAAGACAAUGGAAAAAACCUCAUUACCACGAGCAAACCAUCUCAAAGAGAGUGACCUAGCGAAAAUAGCUAGAGCAGACAUGAAAACGGACGGAAAAGCACGACCAGAUGACUAUGAAUUUGGCAAGAUACAGGAGAACAUCGUAAAGAACAGCAACACCAGCACACAACCAAACUGCUACCACCUCCACCCAAGCGCCGGCGCGAACCACGACAUAGUUUGCACAAGGUACCUCACAGACAACGCGACCCUGCAGAUGCUAGAGCAAGCAGAUCCAGCAGCAUCAAGUAGACUAGUCGAUCCCAACCGCACGAAUGAAAUAGUAGCCACAACAGAACAAAGAGAAAGGAGGAAAAGUAAGAAAGAAGAAGAGGACGAAGAGAGGAAGAGAAGAACAAAAUCAAGGGACGUGGGCAUUGACAAGAAGAAGAUAAAGCGGCAAAAACAGGCCAAGAUGAACUCCACCAGCAGGAUAGCAUCAACAACCCCAAAAAACAAGAAUGAACGCAACAAACAAAGCAACCUCACAACAGAAAGUGCUACAACAACAACUACCCCAACACAAGCACAAGAUACGAUGAACGUCAGAACCAGUGAAGAGGCUCAGCUGGAGAACAAUCAAGUCAGCAGUCCCGUCAACCAAAUGCAAGAGGCUGGACCACAAUCAACCGUUAGCAUAACAAACGACAAAGAAGAAGACAACAACGAAGAGGAGGUAUCACAAUCACUGCCAGACCAAGAGACAACCAGUGUUGAAAUUGAACCCCAUAGUGAACCUCAAACAGACGAAGGAGUCACAGAACAGGAAGUUUGUGCACAUGAGAUUUCCAGUGCCACAACAUUGCAGAUCACCAUGACGAGUACAAAGGAUAAAACCCAAGACAUCCAAGCCGAUGAGAAACUAGAGACUGUUAUACCUGACAAAGAAACAGUCAACGCAGGCACGAAUAACCCAGUCAUCAACACAGAGGAAACAAACAAGUACAUUGAUCUCGAAGAUCAAGAAGCAGCGCAACCAAAGGAAACUGGAAAACACACAGAACUUCAAACAACAACAUCUGAAGAGGAAGAGGAAGCAAACGAAAUCACUCGCAUAGACAUUGAACAAGAAAAAUUAGAGGACAGAACGAGACAAGGAGAAGCCGUAGUUCCAGCAGUAGACAGUCCUGCAAAUCCAGAGAAAGAGGCACAAGAAGCCCAGGAGAGCACCAACAAUCAAGACCAUCAAACACAACCAGAGGAGCCCAAUGAACAACCCGAACAUGUUCAUCAAACGAGAGAUGAGACAGAUGAGCAAAAGAAGGCCACUGAAGAAGGGAAACAUGUUCUUCAAACGGCAGACAUCAACGUCAAAGAAGACCUAGCGCCAAAAUAUUCACUCACCAAAAAAACGGCAGCAGAGACGACAGCAGCGACAACCACUGAAAAGGAAGACGAAGAACAAGCACAACAGUCAGCAGCAACAACGAGAACAGCAACAGAGACAACAGAAAUAGCAACGAUUGAGAAGGUCAGUGCCAUCCAAGUCGAGACUAAAAAACAAGACAGAAAAGACCACCAGCAAGACAUAACGGUUAACAAGGAAAAACAUGAUGCUAAGAAAAGCACAGACGACUCAAAUAAGGAUGGAGCAGAAACUGAACAAAAGGGCACAGUGAAGAAAGGGGGCAAAGAUAGCGAUUCCGUCAACAAAGCCAUCGAAGACCUGUACAACGCUAUAUGCAAGCCAUGGACAAAGAGAGAAAUGGAUCAGCUUUUCAUUACAACGGACAAGUUUGAUGUAAAUCUAGGACAUGUCUCCGAAAGCUUCAAGGUCGGUAAAUCAGUACGCACCGAAGCAAUCAAGCCCAUGCUAACAAUCUUGAGAAAACAACUCAAUGGCACACAGAGAAAGAUUCUGUCGUUAAGCAACACUUUCCUUCUACCAUGUUCGUUGUGCGGGUUUGAGCAAGAUGAAACUACAAGUCAUUACUUCACCAUCACAGUUAACAUGCAAAAACAGCGCUUUGAACUCCUUGACUCUUCAACUGCAUAUCUAGGCACAAUAGAAUUCUUCAACAAUGUAACCAGCAAACUAAUGAAAAUCUGGAAGCACAUAAGCACAGAGCUACAGCUUUCAGAAAAAAGCAUCAACCAUUACAAAAAGGUCAGACUGCAGGUGCCACUUCAAGGAGAAGACACAAUGGACUGCACAUUCUAUAUGUACAUGAACCUGAAGCACUACUCCAGUGAUGGAACAACAGCAACCUUAAAGCCAGAACAAAUACCAAAGUUGAGGAAAAAAGUUCUAUAUCAACUAAUCAGUCAACACAGAGGGAAUACAAAACUGUCACUAAUCAAGUGUACAACAGAUAUGCUGAAGUAUGAAGUAGAUAUAGAAGACAAAGAAAUGCAACAGGCAGAAUGUUGCAUACUAGAAGAGUUUCCGCCAACUCCCGGGCCAAAAGAUCAUAUUAUGCAUGCGACAACCACACAAGAGCAUGAAGUUAUUGAUAUAUCCUAUAAACGCAAAGAGAUUAUGGAUGUCAGCAGCCACGCCGUCGCCCAACAAUCUUUCACAGACCACAAACAAAAUGAUCCACCAAUAGAACCAGAUCAACCACCACCAGACGACAAGAUACUACACCAUGCCGAAGAGGAAACAGAUGAGCAAAAUAUCAAUAGCAAUAUCACGACCACAGAGCAACUGGAACAAACAGGCACUGAUUUAAAAGAGGAUGACAGAAGACACGACGUACCAAAUACACAACAACAGGUUUACGAGCAGAAGAAACAGCCUGUUCUUGUUCAAGAAGAAACAGGCUCGACAAGCAAUCAGCAAGGCACCACCAGCACCAUCUAUUUAGACUUCCUAAAACCAAAAACAAUGGAAAAGCAGGAAGAAGUUGAUGAAUUUUUUCCAAGCCUUAACCCGCUACAACUAGACGUGUACAACGACCAUGUAAAGAUGGACUCUAAGUUUGAUGUAAUCAAAACAUGGUUGGCCGACCAUGAAAGCUAUGAAUUCAACAAAAAUCCCAAGCCGUAUCUGACAAUCUUGCAGCAAGAGUCAGGAGAACAUUCAAUGCCUCAAUCAUCUGAGAACAGCUCAGACAAGAAAAUCUCGGUCAAGAAAAGGACGGUAAAGCCUUCAAGAAGGCUCCUUGGAGAAAUCAGGAUUCCUACUAUUGCCCCAAGAGAUUUCAAAUUUAUGAACAAAGCCAGAGCACUCCAUGAAUACCUAUUCAGCAAAGAAGGACAUGACGAAUGCAGAGAUCUAAACAUAUAUAUUAGCUCGAUGCAACCCGAUUGGAUUACAGGAAAACAAGCAAUGCAACAGCUACGGAAAGGAGAUCAUGAACAGAUGGAGGGCUCCAUCACAAACGCAUUGUUCGACGAAUGGACAGUGCAGCAACAAUACAACACAACCGAUAAAGCCAUACUUCCCGUAGAAUUUGCAAACAUCGUGCUCGGUGUUAAAACUAGAGAAGAAGAAGGACUAGCAGAAUUCAAUGAGGAAGAAUCAUUGAAACAGUUUGCAUCCCUUGUAACAGGGAAGGAACUUUUAAAGAAAAAGCUGAUUAUGAUACCUCACAACACAGCUAAACACUACACAUUGUACAUGCUCAACAAGUACACGAGCUCCAUUGACAUACUUGACUCACUGAAUUACAGACACGAAGACGGAAAAAAUACAUGGAAAACACACCAUAAGGAUCACCAAGAACUGGGUACGCAAUGCGGACACUUCAUGGUUCAGUUUGCAAAAUACUGGAAUGGCAUUGAUCUCAUAAAAGAUGAUGAGGAUUUCAACCAAAGCAACAUAGAUGCCGAGUGGAAACCAGAGUUCCUUUUUACAGCCAUAUUUGGUGAAACAAACCUAGUAAACUGGGAGCAACUACCUGGAAGAAUCAAAGAAUUCAAACUAGAAACUUCAAAGUUCUUUUCCACCAAUAAAGCAAAGAAUCAACUGGUUCCCAUGUAUCUCAAGGAAAAUCAAUGGAAAAAGCUCUCAACAGCAAACAUGCAACAAGUAUUUUAUACGCUGAUAUUCAUUCCAAUGGAGAAGCAUGACCGCUAUGUACUAUAUGUCCUGGACAAAUACAAACACAAAGUUCACAUUAUUGAUCCUCAAGAAACGACUCACAAGGAAUUUCAGAAAGAAAAGAUAGGCGUCGAAGAAUUGACAGAAGAAGAAGCAUGUCGAGUUCUUCAGGAAAAUGAAGAUGCUAAAGAAGAAAGAGAAAGACAGUUUGAUGAAUAUCAUGUUCAUAAGUUGGCAAUCGUACCUAGGUUUAAAGAAGUCUUCAACAUCAUACUAGGACAAACACUGAAUGCCAAGGGUACAAGAUGGCAGACUCAUACCGUGCAAGAUGUUCCAGUGGUAGAAAAGGGAGAAUUGACAUUUGUUGUUUUAAAGCUUGCAUUCCUCUACAAUGGUGAAAAGUUUGUCGAAGACCUAGAAGAUUUGACAGAUGAGGUCGAAGACUGGAGGGCAGAGGCAAUGUACAUUCUCUUAAAUAGCGAGAUGAAUCAAAUCAAAGCUAGUGAAAUGGGUGACGAGAUUAGCAAGAUCUUAAGCAAAAAUGAAGACUAA
RNAcentral lists this ribosomal RNA (5658 nucleotides) under Triticum aestivum (bread wheat). RNAcentral describes it as "partial small subunit ribosomal RNA". Lineage: Eukaryota; Viridiplantae; Streptophyta; Magnoliopsida; Poales; Poaceae. The record is from RNAcentral.